AUGUCGGGGCAGGGCCGUGGCGCCAAGGAGGGCGAGCGUUGCCGACCCCCGGGCUUGAUUCUGAAUCUUGCAGCGGCGUUUUCUGCGAUCCCGCCUCAGCCCAGGAUGCCUGGCUUCACGCUCGUGCGCUUUCCCUCGCCCCAGAUGGCUGUCGCUGCCGACUGCUCGCCGCGCCGUCCUCAGGCAGGCUGGCCGCCCCGCCGUGUGUGUGGCGGUGACAUUACCCCCGCUCGGGACAGCCACCUCCUUUCCUCGUUUGCUGCUAGAGAGCUGCAUUGCCCGAAAGCAGAAAACAACAGCGAUCUGCAGGAGGGAGGCUCUGGGGGGAGACCGUCCGGGGCUGGGAGCGGAGGGGGCUGCAGAGGGGCCGGAGAGGGCCAGCAAGAGACGCGGGAUGGUGCAGGGGGACGUGGAGGGCAGAGGAGACGCAAGACGGAGCGAGAGGUUUGGGCCGCGCGCGGGCUCAAGGGUGGCGGCUGCAGGAGGCUGACGGGGAGGUCGCGGGCGCCGAAGGGGCUGGAGAAGUGCGAGGAGGGGGCAAGCAAAGCACUGUGGGAUAGGAGGAGACUGAGAAAAACAAAGAGACCUAACGGGAAACGCGGAGAAAAAGAGGYCGAGAGGAGCAGGAGAAGGCUAAAGAUAGCUGGGAAGCUGGGAGUGGUUGGGAGAAGGGAGAGGGAAGGGAGCAGGAGCUGCAGGGCAGAUGGAUGCGGGACAGGCUGGGGACAGAAAGGAGGAGACAGGGCGAGAAAGGGGAGGGAGACAGGCCAGCUAGCGAUGGGCAAGCGUGGAGAAAGACCAAGCGCCUGCAAGGAGAUGGCAGCCUCUCCCAAGCAAGCUGAAACGGCGCCUGCUUUCCGAGUGUUUAUUUUGAGGCUGACUUUUGCUCCUAAAAUGUUUUACACCUUUUGGGGGCAGGCGACUUCCAAAACACCCCCAGCACCAGAAGGGAGGAAAGGGCAUCCCUUAUUCUCAUCCUUCUUCCCAGCUGAAUUUUUAUUGCUUUUUAAACCUAAUGGGUUUUAA
Molecule: long non-coding RNA, 1026 nt
Filed under: Apteryx haastii (Great spotted kiwi)
Lineage: Eukaryota; Metazoa; Chordata; Aves; Apterygiformes; Apterygidae
Description: lncRNA (ENSAHAG00000012790.1)
Source: RNAcentral